This is a long non-coding RNA of Gadus macrocephalus (Pacific cod), 2892 nucleotides long. RefSeq lists it as uncharacterized. The record is from RefSeq and is a predicted model, not a curated record. The transcript has 2 exons. NCBI's taxonomy places the organism in Eukaryota, Metazoa, Chordata, Actinopteri, Gadiformes, Gadidae.
UCCACUCUUAUCCGUGAUAGACCAUAAAUAUGAAUAACUUUGAAUCGUAUCAUUAGGUUGAUGACAGUUGUUGACAGGUCAUUAAGGAGCUGGUAGGGUUGGUCGGUACAGAGACAGGUCAUUAAGGAGCAGGUAGGGGUUAGACAGUACAGAGACAGGUCAUUAAGGAGCAGGUAGGGGUUAGACAGUACAGAGACAGGUCAUUAAGGAGCAGGUAGGGGUUAGACAGUACAGAGACAGGUCAUUAAGGAGCUGGUAGGGUUGGUCGGUACAGAGACAGGUCAUUAAGGAGCAGGUAGGGGUUAGACAGUACAGAGACAGGUCAUUAAGGAGCUGGUAGGGUUGGUCGGUACAGAGACAGGUCAUUAAGGAGCAGGUAGGGGUUAGACAGUACAGAGACAGGUCAUUAAGGAGCAGGUAGGGGUUAGACAGUACAGAGACAGGUCAUUAAGGAGCAGGUAGGGGUUAGACAGUACAGAUACAGGUCAUUAAGGAGCAGGUAGGGGUUAGACAGUACAGAGACAGUUCAUUAAGGAGCAGGUAGGGGUUAGACAGUACAGAGACAGUUCAUUAAGGAGCAGGUAGGGGUUAGACAGUACAGAGACAGGUCAUUAAGGAGCAGGUAGGGGUUAGACAGUACAGAGACAGGUCAUUAAGGAGCAGGUAGGGGUUAGACAGUACAGAGACAGGUCAUUAAGGAGCAGGUAGGAGUUAGACAGUACAGAGACAGGUCAUUAAGGAGCAGGUAGGGGUUAGACAGUACAGAGGCAGGUCAUUAAGGAGCAGGUAGGGGUUAGACAGUACAGAGACAGGUCAUUAAGGAGCAGGUAGGGGUUAGACAGUACAGAGAUAGGUCAUUAAGGAGCAGGUAGGGGUUAGACAGUACAGAGAGGUCAUUAAGGAGCCGGUACGGGUUAGACAGUACAGAGACAGGUCAUUAAGGAGCCGGUAGGGGUUAGACAGUACAGAGACAGGUCAUUAAGGAGCAGGUAGGGGUUGGACAGUACAACCCCUCAGGUUGAUCACCCAGAACCUCCCAGCCUGGAGUCAGGUUGACGUUAAUAAUGACUGUUUCUUUUUGUCUUCUUGCGUCCUUGGGAGACUUUAAAGGUACUUGGGACAGAAUGAACUGUUGUUAUAUUUGCAGUGCGGUAUUAUGAUUGCAUUAUUUGGACACUAACAACAUCUUGGUUACUGAAGGCGGUUAAACGUCAUCAUGGACUGGGUCCUGUUCUCUGUGGGCCUGCAUCACAGAUCUGGUUGUGAUGUCAUACCACAUGAGGAAGUCUAUAUAUGGUCCUGCCUUCAUAGCGGUUUAACCAGCACAGGGAGCAGUUGGUAUGAUAUCCGCAUGGUGAACUUGAUCUUAUCAGACACGUUUGAAGCCCUUUGAGGCCUUCUGUGUGGAUGAUGAAUGGUUGUUAAAUAGUGCAAUAGAAACGUCCGGGAAGCAUCUCCACACCUUUCCCCUCCUUGAGAAUGAGAGGGUCUAUGAAUCUGCGUCUAGGAAAAAACACCCUGCCUCUCGUCCAAAGUUAACAGAGACAACAGCGCCCUGUGACCGUAAAUACGCAGCUCAUAACAAAUCUGAGGCUGGGAGGAGUUUGAACUCGGAGGGGAACUGGUCCAACUGGUUGGUUCAUAAUUUCCUUGUUAUGAGUCGGACGGUUUGUUGUGGCUCACUUCAUCACAGCAGGAAGACGACGAAGGUACUGUAGUCCACUCUUAUCCGUGAUAGAUCAUAAAUAUGAAUAACUUUGAUUCUUAUCAGUAGGUUGAUGACAGCUGUUGACAGGUCAUUAAGGAGCAGGUAGGGGUUAGACAGUACAGAGACAGGUCAUUAAGGAGCAGGUAGGGGUUAGACAGUACAGGGACAGGUCAUUAAGGAGCAGGUAGGGGUUAGACAGUGCAGAGGCAGGGGUUGGGGUCUUCUUGAAGACUCCAGACAUUGGGGAUUGUACUCAGAACCUUUCAGCUGGGAGUCAAGCACCCGGUGACCCUGGGUGACUUUAACGCUAGGCAUCUGGUUAGGUAGUAUCUGUGGAGACCUGUUUUUAUUGUUGCAAUUAUUAUUUAUAUUUGUACGACCCAUAUCUCAACCUCUGAGUGGUGAAACGUUUUCAAAUCUCAGACCUUUUGUUGUCCCUCUAACUUAAAUCUCGAAAAAGAUUGGUGCAGAGAUUCCCAUAGGGGGCGCUAUAACUUCAGGUCUUGGUUAAACCCUCAUCAUGGCCGCCUGAUGCAUAAAACAUUCUGAACCUCUGUGUUCAGGCCUUAUUUCGAAUGCCAAAUGCUAUUUUGAACCGUAAUGUCUGUGAGGAUGAUUGUGCUGUUAAGUGAACAUUUUGUGAAAACUUCAGAAAUGUUCUCCAAUUUAUUUACGAUACAUUAUUCAUUGACAAAGAAAAUUGUUGGCCUAAAAGGUCGGAUUUUUCCUCAUUUUUUUAAAUAAGGGAUUAAGAUGAUUUUUUAUUCCUCAUUUUAGUCAACUUUAGCAUGGGUGCAUAAACUUAUUCUUACCACUACAUAUUUAUUGAUUUGCAAUGCUGUUUCCAUUAGCGAUAAUUGUAAGACAUUGCAUUGAGGAGUUCAAAGUUUUGAAUGUUUGCCUACCAGGUAGAGAACAAGCAAUAACAUUCAAUCGUGAACUAAAUUGACAUUGGCUGGAGCAGAAUGGUUAUAUGCUCACUAAAUGCAACCAACCUGUCCGUCAGGAAUCCAGAAUAAUCCAGGCAAUAAUCAUUGCAGAUUUAUGUUUCUAUGUUUUUUCAUUUUAAGGUAUUCACAGUGUAAAUGCUCGUAGUGGCCGUCCUGAUGGAUAAAACAUUCUGAAACUUGGUGUACACUUGUUACACUUGAGGGGUUAACUAACUGCGUCACAUAGAAGCCACC